Molecule: ribosomal RNA, 468 nt
Filed under: uncultured bacterium
Lineage: Bacteria
Description: partial 16S ribosomal RNA
Rfam family: Bacterial small subunit ribosomal RNA
Source: RNAcentral
GACGAACGCUGGCGGCGUGCUUAACACAUGCAAGUCGAACGGAAAGGCCCUGCUUUUGUGGGGUGCUCGAGUGGCGAACGGGUGAGUAACACGUGUGUAACCUGCCCUUGACUUUGGGAUAGCUUCAGGAAACUGGGGCUAAUACCGGAUAGGAGCUCCUGCUGCAUGGUGGGGGUUGGAAAGUUUCGGCGGUUGGGGAUGGACUCGCGGCUUAUCAGCUUGUUGGUGGGGUAGUGGCUUACCAAGGCUUUGACGGGUAGCCGGCCUGAGAGGGUGACCGGCCACAUUAGGACUGAGAUACGGCCCAGACUCCUACGGGAGGCAGCAGUGGAGAAUAUUGCACAAUGGGCGGAAGCCUGAUGCAGCAACGCCGCGUGCGGGAUGACGGCCUUCGGGUUGUAAACCGCUUUCGCCUGUGACGAAGCGUGAGUGACGGUAAUGGGUAAAGAAGCACCGGCUAACUACGUG